This is a long non-coding RNA of Amphimedon queenslandica, 309 nucleotides long. RefSeq lists it as uncharacterized. The record is from RefSeq and is a predicted model, not a curated record. Lineage: Eukaryota; Metazoa; Porifera; Demospongiae; Haplosclerida; Niphatidae. The transcript has 3 exons.
GAUGCAAUAAAAGAAGGUUUUAAGGCUAGGUUUGAGUUCAUUUACAUUUAGUUGUCUUUUCUGAGUUUUGUUGUAGAGAAUAAGUGAAAAAUAAAAUUUAAAAAGGAUCUUUGACACUUUGUCAUAGGCUACUUACUCAAUGGAACAAGCAAGAAAAGUUGAGAAGACGGAUGUUUCUCACAUUAAUGCACAUAUAAGGAUUUUUGGGGACCAAAAAAGAGCCAAAACUGCAGAAAUUAUUGCAUUGAAAAGGGAACUAGGACUACUUUAUGAAGGUGGUCAAGGUACAAGAACAAGGAAGAGAGCCUU